This 114-nucleotide Y RNA is filed under the name Microcebus murinus (gray mouse lemur). RNAcentral describes it as "Y RNA (ENSMICG00000028360.2)". It matches the Rfam family "Y RNA". Rfam says of the family: Y RNAs are components of the Ro ribonucleoprotein particle (Ro RNP), in association with Ro60 and La proteins. The Y RNAs and Ro60 and La proteins are well conserved, but the function of the Ro RNP is not known. The record is from Rfam by way of RNAcentral. Lineage: Eukaryota; Metazoa; Chordata; Mammalia; Primates; Cheirogaleidae.
GGCUGCUCUGGAGGUUGUGAGUUAUUUCAGUUGAUUGUUCAUCAUGGUUAGAAAUAAAACUCCUUUUUCUAUUCUUGCUCCUAUUUUCUCACUACUAUAUUUGAGUAGUCUUUA